GAGUUUGAUCCUGGCUCAGGACGAACGCUGGCGGCGUGCUUAACACAUGCAAGUCGAACGGUAAGGCCCCUUCGGGGGUACACGAGUGGCGAACGGGUGAGUAACACGUGGGUAAUCUGCCCUGCACUUCGGGAUAAGCCUGGGAAACUGGGUCUAAUACCGGAUAUGAACUCCUGCCGCAUGGUGGGGGUUGGAAAGUUUUUCGGUGCAGGAUGAGCCCGCGGCCUAUCAGCUUGUUGGUGGGGUAAUGGCCUACCAAGGCGACGACGGGUAGCCGGCCUGAGAGGGUGAUCGGCCACACUGGGACUGAGACACGGCCCAUACUCCUACGGGAGGCAGCAGUGGGGAAUAUUGCACAAUGGGCGAAAGCCUGAUGCAGCGACGCCGCGUGGGGGAUGACGGUCUUCGGAUUGUAAACCCCUUUCAGUAGGGACGAAGCGCAAGUGACGGUACCUGCAGAAGAAGCACCGGCUAACUACGUGCCAGCAGCCGCGGUAAUACGUAGGGUGCGAGCGUUGUCCGGAAUUACUGGGCGUAAAGAGCUCGUAGGCGGUUUGUCACGUCGUCUGUGAAAUCCCUCGGCUUAACCGGGGGCGUGCAGGCGAUACGGGCAGACUUGAGUACUACAGGGGAGACUGGAAUUCCUGGUGUACCGGUGAAAUGCGCAGAUAUCAGGAGGAACACCGGUGGCGAAGGCGGGUCUCUGGGUAGUAACUGACGCUGAGGAGCGAAAGCAUGGGUAGCGAACAGGAUUAGAUACCCUGGUAGUCCAUGCCGUAAACGGUGGGCGCUAGGUGUGGGGUCCUUCCACGGACUCCGUGCCGUAGCUAACGCAUUAAGCGCCCCGCCUGGGGAGUACGGCCGCAAGGCUAAAACUCAAAGGAAUUGACGGGGGCCCGCACAAGCGGCGGAGCAUGUGGAUUAAUUCGAUGCAACGCGAAGAACCUUACCUAGGCUUGACAUAUACAGGACGACGGCAGAGAUGUCGUUUCCCUUGUGGCUUGUAUACAGGUGGUGCAUGGUUGUCGUCAGCUCGUGUCGUGAGAUGUUGGGUUAAGUCCCGCAACGAGCGCAACCCCUGUCUCAUGUUGCCAGCACGUAAUGGUGGGGACUCGUGAGAGACUGCCGGGGUCAACUCGGAGGAAGGUGGGGAUGACGUCAAAUCAUCAUGCCCCUUAUGUCUAGGGCUUCACACAUGCUACAAUGGCUAGUACAGAGGGCUGCGAUACCGCGAGGUGGAGCGAAUCCCUUAAAGCUGGUCUCAGUUCGGAUUGGGGUCUGCAACUCGACCCCAUGAAGUCGGAGUCGCUAGUAAUCGCAGAUCAGCAACGCUGCGGUGAAUACGUUCC
Molecule: ribosomal RNA, 1349 nt
Filed under: uncultured bacterium
Lineage: Bacteria
Description: bacterial SSU rRNA
Rfam family: Bacterial small subunit ribosomal RNA
Source: RNAcentral